GACGAACGCUGGCGGCGUGCCUAAUACAUGCAAGUCGAGCGAAGCGACGGAUGGGUGAGUAACGCGUGGGUAACCUGCCCUUUAGUCUGGGAUACCAUUUGGAAACAGUUGCUCCUCACGGUUACUAAAGGAUGGACCAUGGAUGCAUUAGCUAGUUGGUAAGGUAACGGCUUACCAAGGCGAUGAUGCAUAGCCGAGUGUAGAGACUGAUCGGCCACAUUGGGACUGAGACACGGCCCAAACUCCUACGGGAGGCAGCAGUAGGGAAUCUUCCACAAUGGAUGAAAGUCUGAUGGAGCAACGCCGCGUGAGUGAAGAAGGUUUUCGGAUCGUAAAGCUCUGUUGUUGGUGAAGCGGUAAUCAACCAGAAAGUCACGGCUAACUACGUGCCAGCAGCCGCGGUAAUUC
Molecule: ribosomal RNA, 408 nt
Filed under: uncultured bacterium
Lineage: Bacteria
Description: partial 16S ribosomal RNA
Rfam family: Bacterial small subunit ribosomal RNA
Source: RNAcentral